Molecule: ribosomal RNA, 468 nt
Filed under: uncultured bacterium
Lineage: Bacteria
Description: partial 16S ribosomal RNA
Rfam family: Bacterial small subunit ribosomal RNA
Source: RNAcentral
GACGAACGCUGGCGGCGUGCUUAACACAUGCAAGUCGAACGGAAAGGCCCUGCUUUUGUGGGGUGCUCGCGUGGCGAACGGGUGAGUAACACGUGAGUAACCUGCCCUUGACUUUGGGAUAACUUCAGGAAACUGGUGCUAAUACCUGCUAGGAGCUCCUGCUGCAUGGUGGGGGUUGGAAAGUUUCGGCUGUUGGGGAUGGACUCGCGGCUUAUCAGCUUGUUGGUGGUGUAGUGGCUUACCAAGGCUUUGACGGGUAGCCGGCAUGAGAGGGUGACCGGCCACAAGGGGACUGAGAGACGGACCAGACUCCUACGGGAGGCAGAAGUGGGGAAUAUUACACAAUGGGCGGAAGCCUGAUGCAGCAACGAAGCGUGCGGGAUGAAGGACUUCGGGUGGUAAACCGCUUUCGCCUGUGACGAAGCGUGAGUGACGGUAAUGGGUAAAGAAGCACCGGCUAACUACGUG